AGGGCGCACGGUGAAUGCCUUGGCACUAGGAGCCGAUGAAGGACGGGACUAACACCGAUAUGCUUCGGGGAGCUGUAAGUGAGCUUUGAUCCGGAGAUUUCCGAAUGGGGAAACCCACUGUUCGUAAUGGAACAGUAUCUUUAUCUGAAUACAUAGGAUAUUGAAGGCAGACCCGGGGAACUGAAACAUCUAAGUACCCGGAGGAAGAGAAAGCAAAUGCGAUUUCCUGAGUAGCGGCGAGCGAAACGGAAUUAGCCCAAACCAAGAGGCUUGCCUCUUGGGGUUGUAGGACACUCUAUACGGAGUUACAAAGGAACGAAGUAAAUGAAGCGACCUGGAAAGGUCCGUCGAAGAAGGUAACAACCCUGUAGUUGAAACUUCGUUCCCUCUUGAGUGGAUCCUGAGUACGGCGGAACACGUGAAAUUCCGUCGGAAGCUGGGAGGACCAUCUCCCAAGGCUAAAUACUACCUAGUGACCGAUAGUGAACCAGUACCGUGAGGGAAAGGUGAAAAGCACCCCGGAAGGGGAGUGAAAGAGAUCCUGAAACCGUGUGCCUACAAGUAGUCAGAGCCCGUUAAUGGGUGAUGGCGUGCCUUUUGUAGAAUGAACCGGCGAGUUACGAUCCCAUGCAAGGUUAAGCUGAUAAGGCGGAGCCGUAGCGAAAGCGAGUCUGAAUAGGGCGUUUAGUAUGUGGUUGUAGACCCGAAACCAGGUGAUCUACCCAUGUCCAGGGUGAAGUUCAGGUAACACUGAAUGGAGGCCCGAACCCACGCACGUUGAAAAGUGCGGGGAUGAGGUGUGGGUAGCGGAGAAAUUCCAAUCGAACCUGGAGAUAGCUGGUUCUCUCCGAAAUAGCUUUAGGGCUAGCCUCAUGUUGUGAGAGUCUUGGAGGUAGAGCACUGAUUGGACUAGGGGCCCCCAACGGGUUACCGAAUUCAGUCAAACUCCGAAUGCCAAAGACUUAUCCAUGGGAGUCAGACUGCGAGUGAUAAGAUCCGUAGUCAAAAGGGAAACAGCCCAGACCACCAGCUAAGGUCCCCAAGUAUACGUUAAGUGGAAAAGGAUGUGGAGUUGCUUAGACAACCAGGAUGUUGGCUUAGAAGCAGCCACCAUUUAAAGAGUGCGUAAUAGCUCACUGGUCGAGUGACUCUGCGCCGAAAAUGUACCGGGGCUAAACGUAUCACCGAAGCUGUGGAUUGACAUCUUUGAUGUCAGUGGUAGGAGAGCGUUCUAAGUGCAGCGAAGUCAGACCGUAAGGACUGGUGGAGCGCUUAGAAGUGAGAAUGCCGGUAUGAGUAGCGAAAGACAAGUGAGAAUCUUGUCCACCGAAUGCCUAAGGUUUCCUGAGGAAGGCUCGUCCGCUCAGGGUUAGUCGGGACCUAAGCCGAGGCUGAAAAGCGUAGGCGAUGGCCAACAGGUUGAUAUUCCUGUACCACCUCCCCGCCGUUUGAGUAAUGGGGGGACGCAGUAGGAUAGGGUAAGCGCGCUGCUGGAUAUGCGCGUUCAAGCAGUUAGGCUGAUGAGUAGGCAAAUCCGCUCAUCAUAAAGGCUGAGCUGUGAUGACGAGGGAAUUAUAGUACCGAAGUUCCUGAUUCCACACUGCCAAGAAAAGCCUCUAGCGAGGCGGGAGGUGCCCGUACCGCAAACCGACACAGGUAGGCGAGGAGAGAAUCCUAAGGUGAUCGAGAGAACUCUCGUUAAGGAACUCGGCAAAAUGACCCCGUAACUUCGGGAGAAGGGGUGCUCUGGUAGGGUGUAUAGCCCGAGAGAGCCGCAGUGAAUAGGCCCAGGCGACUGUUUAGCAAAAACACAGGUCUCUGCGAAGCCGCAAGGCGAAGUAUAGGGGCUGACGCCUGCCCGGUGCUGGAAGGUUAAGAGGAGGGGUUAUCCUUUGGGAGAAGCUCUGAAUCGAAGCCCCAGUAAACGGCGGCCGUAACUAUAACGGUCCUAAGGUAGCGAAAUUCCUUGUCGGGUAAGUUCCGACCCGCACGAAAGGCGUAACGAUCUGGGCACUGUCUCAACGAGAGACUCGGUGAAAUUAUAGUACCUGUGAAGAUGCAGGUUACCCGCGACAGGACGGAAAGACCCCGUGGAGCUUUACUGUAGCCUGAUAUUGAAUUUUGGUACAGCUUGUACAGGAUAGGUAGGAGCCUGAGAAGCCGGAGCGCUAGCUUCGGUGGAGGCGUCGGUGGGAUACUACCCUGGCUGUAUUGAAAUUCUAACCCGCGGCCCUGAUCGGGCCGGGAGACAGUGUCAGGUGGGCAGUUUGACUGGGGCGGUCGCCUCCUAAAAUGUAACGGAGGCGCCCAAAGGUUCCCUCAGAAUGGUUGGAAAUCAUUCGUAGAGUGUAAAGGCACAAGGGAGCUUGACUGCGAGACCUACAAGUCGAGCAGGGACGAAAGUCGGGCUUAGUGAUCCGGUGGUUCCGCAUGGAAGGGCCAUCGCUCAACGGAUAAAAGCUACCCCGGGGAUAACAGGCUUAUCUCCCCCAAGAGUCCACAUCGACGGGGAGGUUUGGCACCUCGAUGUCGGCUCAUCGCAUCCUGGGGCUGUAGUCGGUCCCAAGGGUUGGGCUGUUCGCCCAUUAAAGCGGUACGCGAGCUGGGUUCAGAACGUCGUGAGACAGUUCGGUCCCUAUCCGUCGUGGGCGUAGGAAAUUUGAGAGGAGCUGUCCUUAGUACGAGAGGACCGGGAUGGACACACCGCUGGUGUACCAGUUGUCUUGCCAAAGGCAUCGCUGGGUAGCUAUGUGUGGACGGGAUAAGUGCUGAAAGCAUCUAAGCAUGAAGCCCCCCUCAAGAUGAGAUUUC
Molecule: ribosomal RNA, 2811 nt
Filed under: Priestia megaterium
Lineage: Bacteria; Bacillati; Bacillota; Bacilli; Caryophanales; Bacillaceae
Description: bacterial LSU rRNA
Rfam family: Bacterial large subunit ribosomal RNA
Source: RNAcentral